AGUGCCAGCAGCCGCGGUAAUACGGAGGAUCCAAGCGUUAUCCGGAAUCAUUGGGUUUAAAGGGUCCGUAGGUGGACAAAUAAGUCAGAGGUGAAAUCCUGCAGCUCAACUGUAGAACUGCCUUUGAUACUGUUUGUCUUGAGUUAUUAUGAAGUGGUUAGAAUGUGUAGUGUAGCGGUGAAAUGCAUAGAUAUUACACAGAAUACCGAUUGCGAAGGCAGAUCACUAAUAAUUAACUGACACUGAGGGACGAAAGCGUGGGUAGCGAACAGGAUUAGAUACCCUGGUAGUCCACGCCGUAAACGAUGGUCACUAGCUGUUUGGACUUCGGUCUGAGUGGCUAAGCGAAAGUGAUAAGUGACCCACCUGGGGAGUACGUUCGCAAGAAUGAAACUCAAAGGAAUUGACGGGGGCCCGCACAAGCGGUGGAGCAUGUGGUUUAAUUCGAUGAUACGCGAGGAACCUUACCAGGGCUUAAAUGUUAGGUGACAGGUCUAGAAAUAGAUUUUUCUUCGGACACUUAACAAGGUGCUGCAUGGUUGUCGUCAGCUCGUGCCGUGAGGUGUCAGGUUAAGUC
Molecule: ribosomal RNA, 577 nt
Filed under: uncultured bacterium
Lineage: Bacteria
Description: bacterial SSU rRNA
Rfam family: Bacterial small subunit ribosomal RNA
Source: RNAcentral